GGAUUCCCCUAUAACUGCGAUGAGCGGGAAAGCUCAAAUUUAAAAUCUGGCGGUCUUUGGCCGUCCGAGUUGUAGUCUGGAGAAGUGCUUUCCGCGCUGGACCGUGUAUAAGUCUCUUGGAACAGAGCGUCAUAGAGGGUGAGAAUCCCGUCUUUGACACGGACUACCAGUGCUUUGUGAUGCGCUCUCAAAGAGUCGAGUUGUUUGGGAAUGCAGCUCAAAAUGGGUGGUAAAUUCCAUCUAAAGCUAAAUAUUGGCGAGAGACCGAUAGCGAACAAGUACCGUGAGGGAAAGAUGAAAAGCACUUUGGAAAGAGAGUUAAACAGUACGUGAAAUUGCUGAAAGGGAAACACUUGAAGUCAGUCGCGUUGGCCGGAACUCAGCCUUGCUUUCGCUUGGUGCCCUUUCCGGUUGACGGGCCAGCAUCGAUUUCGACCGGCGGAAAAGGGUUGGAAAAAUGGGGCACCCUCGGGUGGGUUAUAGUUCCUAAUCGCAUACCUUGGUCGGGAUCGAGGAUCGCAGCCCGCCGCAGGCAGUUCGCCCAUUUCGCGCUUAGGAUGCUGGCAUAAUGGCUUUAAAUGACCCGUCUUGAAACACGGACCAAGAGUCUAAAUGCCUGCCAGUGUUUGGGUGGAAAACCCGGCGCGUUAUGAAAGUGAAAUUGAAACCUUUGUCCUGGAGGGAUCG
Molecule: ribosomal RNA, 687 nt
Filed under: Daedalea confragosa
Lineage: Eukaryota; Fungi; Basidiomycota; Agaricomycetes; Polyporales; Fomitopsidaceae
Description: partial large subunit ribosomal RNA
Rfam family: Eukaryotic large subunit ribosomal RNA
Source: RNAcentral